This is a long non-coding RNA of Enhydra lutris kenyoni (northern sea otter), 1425 nucleotides long. RefSeq lists it as uncharacterized. Lineage: Eukaryota; Metazoa; Chordata; Mammalia; Carnivora; Mustelidae. The transcript is spliced from 3 exons. The record is from RefSeq and is a predicted model, not a curated record.
CAUUCCUUUUUCUGACCAUUUUCCAAUUACUUGAAAACAUGAAGCAAUAAGUAUUCUGGAUCUCCUCAGGACCACAAAAUGCUGAGCACAUUAGGAUUGAUCGGGGCCGCCAGGUUCUUCCGGAAGGUGCCCGGGGCGGGAGCGGGAUGCUGGUCUGAGAGCUGGGGAGCUUCCGUGAGUAUCCUUCUUCGUGUGAGCUGCCCCGGGGCACUGGACCUCUGCCUUCACUCAGGAUUGAUGCAUCCUUCCUGGUUUCGCCGGGCCCCCUGCGUCCACGAUUAAUAGGAAGGUUCCCUGUUCUAUCUUGGUUCCCUGCCCUCCAUUUCCUAAAAACUGUAACUUACUAAACUGUCAUCAAUUACUGUGUUAAUUACAACAAGUAGAUUAAUAAAAUGAUAUAAAGUCCAGUCAUUUUGUCUUCAGUAUGACUCCAGUGUAUCCACACGGCUGCACUCUAGAAGUUCAGACGAGAACAGCAUCUUGAGCCCUGAAACCUGCUUUCCACUAAUGUUAACAAUUUCGCAGCAUCACGUACUCCCAGGCCUUGGCAGAGCUGUGCAACAGACAGUUUCUGUGUGAAUCCCUGCACUUCCGGGAAGGUCAUUCCUAGGUGUUGGAUGUUUUGUUCAUCGUGUGCAUCCCCAUAUACAUUCUGUAACUAGGAUAAGUCAGAGCUAUCCACGGUUGCAUAUUUGCCCCAUCCAGCCAUGCUGCUGGAGGUAUUUUAUGAGUUCCAGCGAUUUUCUUUGGUUACUCCCAGUUCCCUUGCUUUGCAGUCAAGUCAUUUGCAGACAUGUCACGUUCUUGUUUGGGAGUAUUUGAAGCUAUUGCUUUUGUUGUCUCCUUCUUACAGUAGCAGGACAUUUGAAGACAAUACUGAAUAAAAGCAGGGAUUAUCAGGAUUCACGUGGGAUUUUAACAGGAAUGCUUUUCUUUGAGAUAACUAUUUGGAGCAUUCUUUUAUUUUCUUGCACACUUAUUGGUCUGUUUUCUCCUUUAGCCAAUGGGAUCAUUUCUUUGCUUAAAAAAAUCUGUGGGCUUUCUUUUGAGAUUUGCACAGGUACUCCGUAGAUCAGAAAUGAGGAGGAGGGCUUGCCAGCAGGUGCGAGGGGGCAGGACCUGGGAACAUGUCCACUUGGACACUGAUCUGGAGGAGAUCUUGUCAUUGGGCUCGUGACUGCUUAGAAUACACACACGUGGCAAGUAAGCACAGGCAGAAGCUCGCUCUGUUUGGUCAUGAGGGAAGCGCCCAUCAAACCGCAGGGGGACACCGCUAGCUAUCGGCCUCUCGGAAUAACUUCCAUUGAAGAAAACGACCAACAGAGGCUUGGCGAGGACGCAGAGGCUCUGAGACAUGCACCCUGCCAGCGGGAAGCGCCGCGGUGACCCAAGUAUGUCAAUCCUAGGUAAUUAGUUACCCAGGAG